Molecule: ribosomal RNA, 533 nt
Filed under: Parabacteroides sp. AM25-14
Lineage: Bacteria; Pseudomonadati; Bacteroidota; Bacteroidia; Bacteroidales; Tannerellaceae
Description: bacterial SSU rRNA
Rfam family: Bacterial small subunit ribosomal RNA
Source: RNAcentral
CAAUUUAAACAACGAAGAGUUUGAUCCUGGCUCAGGAUGAACGCUAGCGACAGGCUUAACACAUGCAAGUCGAGGGGCAGCGGGGUGUAGCAAUACACCGCCGGCGACCGGCGCACGGGUGAGUAACGCGUAUGCAACUUGCCUAUCAGAGGGGGAUAACCCGGCGAAAGUCGGACUAAUACCGCAUGAAGCAGGGGCCCCGCAUGGGGAUAUUUGCUAAAGAUUCAUCGCUGAUAGAUAGGCAUGCGUUCCAUUAGGCAGUUGGCGGGGUAACGGCCCACCAAACCGACGAUGGAUAGGGGUUCUGAGAGGAAGGUCCCCCACAUUGGUACUGAGACACGGACCAAACUCCUACGGGAGGCAGCAGUGAGGAAUAUUGGUCAAUGGGCGUAAGCCUGAACCAGCCAAGUCGCGUGAGGGAUGAAGGUUCUAUGGAUCGUAAACCUCUUUUAUAAGGGAAUAAAGUGCGGGACGUGUCCCGUUUUGUAUGUACCUUAUGAAUAAGGAUCGGCUAACUCCGUGCCAGCAGCCGC